UUGGACCAGUGGCUUACGAGAUAGCCUUACCCCCGCAGUUGGCGAACCUCCAUCCGGUGUUUCAUGUGUCACAGCUAAGGAAGUAUGUAUUCGAUCCGGCCCACGUGUUGGAGGCUGAAGAUAUACGGAUCAGGGAAAACCUCUCAGUGGAAGUACCACCCAUAGCUCUUGAGGAUAGUAAGGUUGAGGAACGUCGUGGGAAGAGUGUUAGCCUUGUUAAAGUCAUCUGGGAUCGGAGGACGGGUGACUCGACUUGGGAGUUAGAGGAGGACAUGAGAAAAUCACAUCCACAUCUGUUUACCUGGUGAGUCUUUAUUUUCGAGGUCGAAAAUUUUGUUGGUGGGGAGAAUGUAAGGCCCCAUUUCUUUCCUGCCCUAAAAGCUAGUGGGCUGCCCUACAGUAUUGGGCCUAAAAGGCUGGCCCAUGAUAUAAAGACCCUUAGCGUUGCCCUAAUUCCACACUUCUUGCAUUUUCAGAAAACCUUGCUGCAACCGUCAACCCCCUCUGCUAGGGUUCCGCCGCAGCUGUUACGUGAGCCAGGAAGUUUCGUUACUCCAUCCCUAUAGUGCAUCCUUGGAGCUGCCGUGCUCGUGGUCACAUAGUAGAGGUCUUCGCUAAGUUUUCCAGAUGGGCGAGGUUCUCAUGGUCAACAAGCGAAUGGUGGUUC
Long non-coding RNA from Vigna unguiculata (cowpea), 667 nucleotides. The record is from RefSeq and is a predicted model, not a curated record. Lineage: Eukaryota; Viridiplantae; Streptophyta; Magnoliopsida; Fabales; Fabaceae.